GAUGAACGCUAGCGGCAGGCCUAAUACAUGCAAGUCGAACGGGAUCCAGAUCAAAGCUUGCUUUGGUUUGGUGAGAGUGGCGUACGGGUGCGUAACGCGUGAGCAACCUACCCUUGUCAGGGGGAUAGCCCGGCGAAAGUCGGAUUAAUACCGCAUGUCAUCAUUGAGAGGCAUCUUUCGAUGAUCAAAGAUUUAUCGGACAAGGAUGGGCUCGCGUGACAUUAGCUAGUUGGUAAGGUAACGGCUUACCAAGGCUACGAUGUCUAGGGGCUCUGAGAGGAGAAUCCCCCACACUGGUACUGAGACACGGACCAGACUCCUACGGGAGGCAGCAGUAAGGAAUAUUGGUCAAUGGACGGAAGUCUGAACCAGCCAUGCCGCGUGCAGGAAGACGGCCCUAUGGGUUGUAAACUGCUUUUAUACGGGAACAAACGUCGGUACGUGUACCGGUCUGAGUGUACCGUAAGAAUAAGGAUCGGCUAACUCCGUG
RNAcentral lists this ribosomal RNA (490 nucleotides) under uncultured bacterium. RNAcentral's name for it is "partial 16S ribosomal RNA". It matches the Rfam family "Bacterial small subunit ribosomal RNA", at positions 28 to 507 of the family's 1533-position model. The record is from RNAcentral.